GAUGAACGCUGGCGGCGUGCCUAAUACAUGCAAGUCGAGCGAACAGACGAGGAUCUUGCUCCUCUGACGUUAGCGGCGGGCGGGUGAGUAACACGUGGAUCACCUACCUAUAAUACUGGGAUAACUUCGGGAAACCGGAGCUAAUACCGGAGGAUAUAUUGAACCGCAUUGUGCAAUGGUGAAAUACGGUUGUUCGGUCACUUAUAGAUGGAUCCGCGCCGCAUUGGCUAGUUGGGAGGGUAACGGCUUACCAAGGCAACGAUGCGUAGCCGACGUGAGAGGGUGAUAGGCCACACUGGAAGUGGGACACGGUCCAGACUCCUACGGGAGGCCGCAGUAGGGAACCGUACGCAAUGGGCGAAAGCCUGACGGAGCAACGCCGCGUGAGAGAUGAAGGUGUCCGGAUCGUAAAGAUCUGUUAUUAGGGAAGAACAAAUGUGUAAGUAAAUAUGCACGUAUUGACGGUAACUAAUCAGAAAGCAACGGCUAACUACGUG
Molecule: ribosomal RNA, 497 nt
Filed under: uncultured bacterium
Lineage: Bacteria
Description: partial 16S ribosomal RNA
Rfam family: Bacterial small subunit ribosomal RNA
Source: RNAcentral